This is a long non-coding RNA of Cyprinus carpio carpio, 552 nucleotides long. NCBI's taxonomy places the organism in Eukaryota, Metazoa, Chordata, Actinopteri, Cypriniformes, Cyprinidae. The record is from Ensembl.
UACGAUCCGCCGCGCACAUUUACAGGCAAGAAAUUACUAUCAAAUCCCCAAAGCGCUCGGCAAACGAAGGGUGCGCGUUGCGCGGGCGAGGGAUCUGAUGUGGACUUAAACACAAAUGAAAGGAGGAUUCAUGCAACAGAUAGAACAGAUAUAUGCCUAACCCGACGCCGUAGAACAGAUAAACACGCUCGCAUUUAUUGAUCCAUUCAUUUUCCCCCAUGGCUCCCAGCGGCUGAUUUAUCUCCAGUGAUGGCAGUGUGCAUCAGCUAAAAGCAAUCCUGUAAAUCACAGGCCUCUCCCUCGCCGCUUUCAUCACUUCAUUAAUUCAAGAUAUCAUUACGGCCACUGGUGACAUAACUCUGAACAAUGGUACACGCUUAAGAUAUUAAUCUGCACUCUGCAACAAAGAGCCUCUCUGUCUCUGGCUGAUUUAGCCACUGCUUAUUUUACGCUGCUGAUUUACAUUGGGUCGGUAAGCCGGGCUGAUUUGGAUUCUGUCACUGAAAGAUAACAAGCUGUCAGAGUUUUACACCCCUAUAGUGAUUGUGUGGC